This is a long non-coding RNA of Oryzias latipes (Japanese medaka), 558 nucleotides long. RefSeq lists it as uncharacterized. NCBI's taxonomy places the organism in Eukaryota, Metazoa, Chordata, Actinopteri, Beloniformes, Adrianichthyidae. The record is from RefSeq and is a predicted model, not a curated record.
CUGAAAUUUCCACCGGAAGUUAAGCUGAAAAGGAAGUGCUUUUAUUCUGAAAUUUCCACCGGAAGUUAAGCUAAAAUGGAUGUGGUUUUAUUCUGACACUUUCACCGGAAGUAAAGCUGCAAUGGAAGUGCUUUUAUUCGGAAAUUUCCACCGGCCCUAGCAGCUAACUGCCUAGCAGAAAGUAACUUCACAGUCAGCCUCGGAGGGAGCACGUUUCAUCCAAGAGAGAAGCUAGCAGCGGUGAGGAUUGUUAAACUCUUCAGAAAUAAUGUUUUGUCCAUAUUGUGGGAUAAACCUUGAGAGGGUCCUCUCCUACUGCGGCUCUUGUGGCAGAAAUAUCCAGUGUUUAAGAAGUCUUCAAUCCGAAGCAGGUCCUGAAGAAACUACCAUGGAUGAACUCAUCUACAAAUAUUUCACAGAUGGUCAUACCUCUGAUAUAAUAGUGGAUUUACUAGCAACCAAACACAACAUUUCAACUAGCCUCAGCACAGUAAAAAGAAGACAGUGUCAGAAUAAAACCACAUCCAUUUUAGCUUAACUUCCGGUGGAAAUUUCAGA